This 525-nucleotide ribosomal RNA is filed under the name uncultured bacterium. RNAcentral describes it as "partial 16S ribosomal RNA". It matches the Rfam family "Bacterial small subunit ribosomal RNA", at positions 28 to 523 of the family's 1533-position model. The record is from RNAcentral.
GACGAACGCUGGCGGCGUGCCUAAUACAUGCAAGUCGAGCGCAGGAAACCGUUCCGAACCCUUCGGGGGGACGACGGUGGAAUGAGCGGCGGACGGGUGAGUAACACGUAAAGAACCUGCCCAUAGGUCUGGGAUAACCACGAGAAAUCGGGGCUAAUACCGGAUGUGUCAUCGGACCGCAUGGGCCGCUGAUGAAAGGCGCUCCGGCGUCGCCCAUGGAAUGCUUUGCGGUGCAUUAGCUAGUUGGUGGGGUACCGGCCCACCAAGGCGACGAUGCAUAGCCGACCUGAGAGGGUGAUCGGCCACACUGGGACUGAGACACGGCCCAGACUCCUACGGGAGGCAGCAGUAGGGAAUCUUCCACAAUGGACGAAAGUCUGAUGGAGCAACGCCGCGUGAACGAUGAAGGCUUUCGGGUCGUAAAGUUCUGUUGUAAGGGAAGAACAAGUGCCGCAGGCAAUGGCGGCACCUUGACGGUACCUUGCGAGAAAGCCACGGCUAACUACGUGCCAGCAGCCGCCGUAA